GAGGGUGCAGCUCAGUGGUACAGCGCAUGCUUAGCAUGCACGAGGUCCUGGGUUCCAUCCCCAGUACCUCCA
This is a transfer RNA of Camelus ferus (Wild Bactrian camel), 72 nucleotides long. It matches the Rfam family "tRNA". Rfam says of the family: Transfer RNA (tRNA) molecules are approximately 80 nucleotides in length. NCBI's taxonomy places the organism in Eukaryota, Metazoa, Chordata, Mammalia, Artiodactyla, Camelidae. The record is from Rfam.